CUAUCGUCUUCGUCCGUGGAUGCUAAGUGCUGUCACUAGGUGGCUAAAUAUUUCAGUGUGUUUAGGGAUUAAACUAUUCAGCCCUAGUGUGUUCGAGGGAUGUAUUCAUGUAUUGGAAUUGGAAGGAGGGUCUCCAUAGUUUUGAGACGAAAAACCUAUAAUCAUUCUUUUUCUUCCGAGACGCUGGCCGAGAAGGUUACUCUAGACAUCAUUGCUGGGUACUUUCUUUCCUGACAUUGUUCUUCAUAAAAAAAAGGUUGAUGGAGAUUUUUCUCAAUGUCUAGUGCCAAAUCUACAAGAUGCCUUUGAUGUAUCAUGUUGCGAGAUGAAAAUGGGAAGAAAACAGGAAAUCUGAAAUGGAAACAAUUUACUUGAAAGACAACUAAAAUUCCUCGGGUCAGUUUGGCGUUGAAGCUGUUGGUGGUGAUGUCUGGCGUACAGUGGUGUGGCAGUCAUUUUCUGAUUGAAAGUUGCACUGAAAGUGAAAUGGAUCUUCUGCAGACCUGCAGUUCAACUGACUUCAAUUUACCAUGUUGGUGUCCAUGAACUUUUGUGUGAAAUAGUUGGUGUUGCCUGAUGGUCGUCUUACAUUUUGGUGUCGUCUCUUGCUACAUUUACCCACGUUAAGUUCGAUCGUGUGCCGCCGUUUCAGACUUGAUAUAUUGUUGAAGUUGAGGAGUUGCUGAAAUUCAAGACUGAUAAAUCAGUAGAUAAUUAAAAAUGAAAAUCUAUUGUCCCUUUUCCCUAAGUAAACGAAAUGUCCUGUUGGUUAGUUUGAAAACCAGGAGUGUUAUGAUAGAAUGGGGAAUUGCAACGAGAAAGAGAAGUUAAACCACCAAGAUUCUUUUAUUCCGAUGAACUCUACCGCCUUCAUAACGAUUCUUAAACAUUUCGCUCUUAAUCAAUAUUAUUACCUCGUUAAAAAAAUAAAUUGUUGUAA
Long non-coding RNA from Daphnia pulex (common water flea), 940 nucleotides. RefSeq lists it as uncharacterized. Lineage: Eukaryota; Metazoa; Arthropoda; Branchiopoda; Diplostraca; Daphniidae. The record is from RefSeq and is a predicted model, not a curated record. The transcript is spliced from 4 exons.